Long non-coding RNA from Mugil cephalus (flathead mullet), 1010 nucleotides. RefSeq lists it as uncharacterized. Lineage: Eukaryota; Metazoa; Chordata; Actinopteri; Mugiliformes; Mugilidae. The transcript has 3 exons. The record is from RefSeq and is a predicted model, not a curated record.
CCAAGAACCACUUGCACUUCUGAGGCUGCAAGUGGUUACAGAGUCACCAAAGUUGGGCAGUGGAAAACUGCGCAUAUGUACAAACAACACAUAAUAUGAUGAAAACUUUAAAAGACACAAAACCAGGGGAAGACGACGAAGAGAAGUGCUUUAAAGAGAGAUUUAAAAGAGAUCAAUAAGUCAGCUCAUUCCACAGCUGUACACAGCAAAAAUUGGAGUGUUGAAAUUUCAGGGUUAAACAUGUUAGGGUUGAUUUUCACUCUCACAGUGUCAUUUUAACACAAUCUGAUUCAAAAAGUGUUCAGUGUUGGAGUUAUUUGACAGAGUUAGUCAAGUUAAUUUGCUUGGUAAGCCCCUGGGCUUCAGCCCGGUUAAACCCGUUGAUCAACUCAACUAAUAGUUUGCUUUGCUGCACCGUUCUUCCAUGUGCUUCUGCUGGUUUCACCACUGGUUGACCCUGUGUUGCAUGGAAAGUUUAACGCAGACGCCUUGGACCAAGAGAUGGCCUCCCUGUUGUUACUGUUCUACCUCCUUCCGCCACCACCUGGAGGACCGAAGCAUCCAAAACUCAGCGCCUCUGAUACAGUUGAGAGACUUGUAGUCUUUCAUAAGAUUGGACCCCCUAAUGGGCCGCUUUUGGCCCGCAGGCCAUAUGUUUGACACCUGUGUCCUAGACGUUGGGUGCCAGAAGAGGAAGAUCGACAGCUUCUGUAUAGCCAUGGACAAGCGUCUCAUCCCCUGCCAGGCCAACCGCUCUCUUGGGGCGUUUGAUGAGCUUUUUAAAGAUAAUUUUGUGUUCAAUGUGUCUUAUGAUGGUGUACUUGUGAAUUUAUUUUUUUAUAUCUUCAUUUAUUAUGUUGUAAUUGACUGCUUGUGAAAAAAGCCUAACAGUACAUUUUUUUGAAAAUGUAUUGUUUUUGGAAUUAAUUGUCUCAUAACUUUAAUUAUCAUAGUAUUAUAAAGUUGUAUUCAAUUCUUACAUAUUAAAUUUAGGGAAUAAAACUACCCAA